RNAcentral lists this long non-coding RNA (1851 nucleotides) under Homo sapiens (human). Its description in RNAcentral is "HSALNT0377406". The record is from RNAcentral. Lineage: Eukaryota; Metazoa; Chordata; Mammalia; Primates; Hominidae.
CAGAGGUGUCAAGCUGCCAGUGUUGAUUCAAAUGAAAAUGAUAAUGUUGAAGAAGGAGGCUGCAAAAGUUCCUAAGCAACCUGACGGGAUAUACCUUGUAAAAUGCUUUCAAAAAAGCUUCAAAGGGCAGCUAAUAAAUGAAUAUACUGACAGGGUUUAAUCGCUUCUCCUCUCUCCUAGUAACAGGAAUUAAAGGCCACAGGUGGUUCUGGGUUGGAGGCAGGACCCAAAAGUAAAUGCAGCAUUCAGAGCUGCACAGGCCCAGUCAGAGCAGCUGCCACUUCAGGCACUUACAGUGGUCACCCAGGAUUCAGGAGAUGCAUAUUAUAAGUAACUCAGUUCUGUAAGAGCUAGGAGUUAGUUCACACUGCUUGGGCUCUCACUAAGUAAGCCUGUGCAAUGCAGGCAGGAAGGGAGAAAAUGCUUACAAAAAAGAAAUGAGUAGAUUCUUGCCUUAGGAAAGUCAACGGGAUACAAUUCCUGAUGGAAGAGCAGUUGCUAUUCUAAGAGCUAAUUAACAAGAAACAAUGCUGCAAAAAACUUGGGAGACAGGACGGCAGAACACACCCAGAUGGCCUGUGGGAAAUUCCCAGGCCUGCCAAUGAUGUGAGAGAGGACAUCUUGUGAAUGGGUGGGUACAGCCUGUUCUUCUGGGCAAGACAAACAGUGCAGGACUCUAUAUGCCAGGGUGGCUGAAGCCCCAGUGUCCAAGAGGCUUGCCCAUUCCUCCCUGCCCCUGGCACUGAACCCAAGCUUCCAUGGGGCACUGUGGAAGAGGCCUUGCCUGACGACAAGUAGACCAAACACGACCGUCCGUCCUCUAAAAACUGCACCCUUGGAAUUGGGGACAGGCAGAAUAACCCUUUCACUAGCUUGAUACUUAGCCUCUUGGGGUUCUGAUAAAUCCUUUUGAAUAACCAAGCAGUUUUGUUUUUAAUACCUUGGCCUGAGCCCUUUAGAUGCAGCCAUCCUCAACUUACAAAAAAAACAAACCAAAAGAAAAAACAAAACACACACACACACAAACAAACUUUGAUUCAAUUGACAAAGGUUUUCAAGGUGUCUACUACAUGUAAGGCAGCACACUAGGGGUUUCUUGGGGAUACGCAGAUGACAAAGACAGUGUCUCUUCAUCCAGGAGCUAAUCAAGAGAAGGGGGAAGAAUCAAGCAAACUUCAUAAUACACAGCCGGAUGAAAUGAAAAGAGACUUAGAUCAAGUGCUGUGAGAGCUUGGAAGAGGCACGGGGCAAAUAACACUGGGGCUGGUGGUGGGAAGGCAAGUGACAGCCUCGUGGAAGAGGUGGCAUUUGACCAGAGAUGAGGACGAACAGAAUUAACAUAGUAGGCAUGAAGGAAGAAAAUGCGCCUGAGGACACAGCCAGCACAAAUGCAGAGGCAUACAAGUGCCUGGUACAGCUGGCAUGCAGGGAUGGCUGAGGAACUGCGGGGGCAGCCGGUGGGAUCCAUCCGAGGCAGGGGCACAGAUAGAAAGCUGCUGAGAGACUACACUCUGAGGUCAGCCUUGACCCUGAGGCUCAUCUGGCUCUCCCUGUUCCUCUACAGCCAGGUAAAGGUUAGAGGCAAGUCUCGGAGAUGGAAACCCAAGGUCAUGCAGUUGUGCCAAUGCCCGUUGUUAGACAACAUGCUUCUAUUCCUGACAAACCAGUCUCAAGCAGCUCUGACUGAUGGGGCGGAUUUCAAUGCUCUCCAAUGACUUCCAAGUGUUAAGAAAAAGCUGCUGCUACCCUACAUGCCCAAGCUAUACGAACUACUUUUUUCCAGGUAUGAUUCCCCAAAUGUAGCUACUGAAGAGAAGUGAGUGCUGAACAAAGAUUCUCUAGUGGGGACUA